CCGGGCUCCAGUCGCCCUCCACGGUCAGGGCCGGACACUCGGAGUCCUCCAUGGUUCAGGUCCAGAGUCAGACUGACGGAACCAGCCCAGCAGGAGGAGCAGACCGAACCGGACCGGACCUGGCAAUGAUGGCCCGGUUCACCUGAGGCAGGACACACCUGGACCGGUGAUGUCACGUGUGACGUAGUUCUAUUAUGACUGGACAACCACAAAUGACUGGCCGAUGCCGGAGAUGACGUCAGUGUUAUGCUUUUCUUCACAUGAACAAAGAUGGCAGGUGCAGAAUAUAUAAAGGACGUUAAAAGCAGGUUAAAAUCAGACACACAGCAGCUUCAAUGUUAGAGUCCAUCACCUGGUCAACCUGCGGGAUGUCACCAUUCAUUUUCUCAAGUCUAAAAGUGAAGAAAAUAUGAAGAAACAUUUAUACAUCUACCAGGGAAAAGACUUUUAACCAAAAAAUAAUAUGGCAGGUUUAGCAAUAUAAUUAAUAUCAUUUUAACUUUUGCAAUUUAAGUUUAAAUUAUCAUAUUUAUGCCUUCAAUUACAAACAAUUUUACUAAAUCAGUUCUUAAACGAAGUUCUAUAAAAAAAGAAGUUAGAAAAAUAUAAUCAAUAUCAUAUUCUUGACUUGUUACUCUAACCCAGUGGUUCCCACAGUGUGGGGCGCGGCCCCCUGGGGGGCGCAGUGCCAUUGCAGGGGGGCAGGAAGCGGCCUGGAUGAAUAAAAACAUUUA
Molecule: long non-coding RNA, 734 nt
Organism: Xiphophorus couchianus (Monterrey platyfish)
Lineage: Eukaryota; Metazoa; Chordata; Actinopteri; Cyprinodontiformes; Poeciliidae
Exons: 2
Source: RefSeq, a predicted model, not a curated record